AAAUACUAAAUAAGUCUUCAUCAUUUACUUGCUUUGCCCUUGCCCUUACUUGUGGAUGGCUCAUCAACUUUCUCAAUCUUAGCUGCAAUGUUAUUAUGCAAGAGUGAGCAACAAUUGCCCACAAGUUUAACAAUAGUAAUAAUAAUAACAUGCGAAUAAUCAAUGGAUACUGAACAAAAGAAAGCUUGGCUUUUGAAUCAAGAUUAGAACAAAAAUCAAAAGUACAUCUGAGGGUCACAAGACCAUGAACUAUGUCCUAGGUUAUCAAGUAUUUCUACUUUAAACCUUUAACAGUUGUAAGACUAUAUGAACCUUGCUUCUCGUACUUAGGGGGAUCAGUACCAUGUAUGUGCACAACAUAUUAACGCUAUCACGUAAUAUAAUCCCCCAUAACAGGGUUGUUCAUCUCAGCUUUGACGUUUGAGUCCGCACCAAAGGAAGUUUGGUUUGGAUUAGCUUCAAGGGUAAUUUAGAGUUCAAUAAUCAUCAACUAAGGAUUAGUUGAAUCGAUAAGGAAUCACUAUCCAUCCAAGGUUUCAAUGCAAUAUCGAAAUCAAUAAUCAAAUCAAAGAUUGAAUCUCAACUCUAUAUAAUUGACUGAAAAGAUUGGUCUCGUUCGUCACACUACUAGAAUCCGUUAUAUUUGUAACAAGCUGGGCAUGAUUGAUAUACAUGCUCCAACUUGUGGGAAGUGUUAGAUUAAUCUAGAUGAUUCUAGGAUUCUAUGAUUGAUUUGAUUAGGAGUGAUUAGUGGUAGGAUUAUUCUAGAAGCGUGGUUAGUGGUAAUCACUUAUCAUUAUGAUUUACUUUUCAUAUUUAGCUUCGACACUUGGCCUAUAUAAAAGCUCUCUAUUGUACACAUUAUGAUAUGGAAUAAUAUUGAUUUUUAUGGAUAAAUUCUAUUAAAAAAAUGUUGUUGAUGUUGUUCUGUCAAAUGACUUGUCCUUUUCUUUUCUUUAUUUUUUUUUUAAAAAAAUAACUAAAAUUUAAUGACCAGGCCUUUGACAGAGAAGAGAAAGAACUAACAUAUGUGCUGUAAUGAGCAGUACUUAAUAGUAAAUUUAUCUGUUCUUAUUGUUCUUUUUUUUUUCUUGAUAAAUUCUCAAGUAUAUUGACAUUUAUCCACAAGUUCCUGCAUUAUAGUUUCAGUAAUCACCUAUCUUGCCACAGAAAAUUUAAACUGUUGUUUGUAUUUUACCUUUCAUCAGCUAUACAGAAAAAAGGGCAUAAUGAUCCAUGAAGAAUGAAUUUUUAAGCCUACUUUUAAUUGCAAUUGGUUAAAUGAUUAAGGAUUAUCUAUUUCUUUAUUGUAAACUCUAUUUGUUUAUCUAGUAUAUUGGAGUAUUGGACUUAGAUGUUGGGCUGGCCAGCUAAAGAAAGUAUAUUCUGUCAAUGUAUUUUGUCAAUCAUUCAAUUUAGACAUUCUUUUGCUUCUGAAAAUAUUUUGUUCUUUGAUUUUUGUGUGUAUUUAAAUAAUCACGUAUAUUGUCUUUCAAAAAUCACAUGUUCAUCCCAUAUAGGGAACGAGUUUUCUAAUAUAUUGUAUAAUUCCUUAAUCCAUCGAAAUAGUUUCAGAAGAAGUCUGCAAUUGCUUGUGCGUAAAUUUCUUGCAAUUGCUAGGUUUCGAUUUGCCCACCCUCUGAGCUUGCAUUACUCAGUUGUUAGUUUCAAGAUUUUUUUAUAAUAAGUUAGUUUCAAGAUUUUAUUGGACUUCUAUUUCUCUAUCUCUGACAUAUUAAUUCAUCUACAGACCAGGAUUAAGGUCUACUAUAACAGGCUUUCUUCCAAGUGUCAUUCUCAGUGGAUGUAUAUACGUUGUUCCGUUUGCCAUGAUUGCAAUGGCUAGACUAGCAGGUUAUGUAUCGAGGAGUAGAAAGGAUAUAAAGGCUUGCAACAUGGUCUUCUAUUUUUUAGUGGGAAAUGUAUUCUUCUUAAGCUUAUUAUCAGGUUCUUUACUUGAUCAAAUUGGACAGUCGUUCAGCCAUCCCAAAAAUAUUCCUGGUCAUCUUGCAGGCGCGGUUUCUGCUCAAGUAAGUUUGAUCCAGCUCUUAAUCAGGCCUUUUACAUGUUAUUGCUUGUAUUGCACCUCUGGUUUCUAGAAGAUUUCAUCUAAAUGGUCAUUAAUAUGAGUAGCUAGCAUGUUAUCUACAGUACAUCAGAUUGCAUCUCUAGUUUAUUCUAUACCAGGGUUUAAUCUCGAAAUUUCCCUUCUGUUAGUUCCUGUGUGGGUGGACUUCUUGUCCCCCCUACUUCUUUUGUUCCUCUCCUUUUCUAUUAAUAAAAUUUCUUCAGUUACCUUAAAAAAAUAAAACUAAAUAUAUGAUAACCUUCCUGAUAAUUUUACAUUGUAACAUUAUAAUUUAGUUACUGGCUUAUGAAUCUGUGUUAUCUAUUCCAGGCAGACUUCUUUAUGACAUAUAUUCUGACAAGUGGACUGUCGGGAUUUUCUCUGGAAGUUCUUCAGCCUGGGUUACUUAUCUGGAAUUAUAUAAAGUUGCAUACAUUUGGCCGUGGAAAAAAGAAAAAUCCUUAUCUCUACUCACUGCCUUAUUACAGAAUUAUUCCUUUUAUUUGUCUCUUUAUACUGAUUGGCAUGGUAUAUGCAGUCGUCGCACCAUUGCUGCUCCCAUUUCUAAUUGGUUAUUUCCUUUUAGGCUAUGUUGUGUUUAUUAACCAGGUAAGAAUCCUACAAUUUUGAUUUUUCUUACUUAAAGUCUCUGUAUCUUAUUCUCAUCAUGUAAAUUCUGCUUCUCUUGAUUCUUUUUUUAUUUUUUAUAUCCCACAUGGCACUUUGAAACAAUGAUAAGAAUCCAUUAAUGCAGUAUUAAUUAAGCCAGAAUAUGGGUUUGGAGUGAAAUAUAAGGAGGAAUGUAAGUAUAUAUGUUUGCAUUUGGUAUUUUAUCUUCAAGUUUCGAUUUAAUCGUCAUUAAUGGUUCUUGUUAGCUUCCAUCAAUAAGUAAAGCAAAAAGGAGCUGAAUUGAUUGCUCUUUGAGCUAACGCGUUAGUUUGAUGCCAUCAUUAGCAAAAGAAUGUAUGCAGUGUGUGUUGCUGCAAGAUUGUCUCAGUGAGGACUAUGCAAGUGGAUAACAGGAAUACCAAGGUCUUGAAAUAAAUGUGACGGCCAUGACAUUUCUGAAUAUACUGACCCUAAAGCUUUAUAUUAAGAAAUGCUAGAAUGGGAGACGAAGAAAUCAUUCUAACCAGUAUGCCCAGUUAGAUGAAAUGAUUGAUUAGUGUGAUGGGAAUUUCAUAAUGGUGGGACUCUUUUAGUCAAAGAAAGCAUUCUCUUAACAGUUGUAAGAUGUUAAAAAGUGGGUGCAUACAAAAGAAUAAACUUGGUUUACAGAAUCAUUCGAGUCUAUACUGAAGUAGAAAGAACUCCAGGAAAUUGUAGGUGCCUACUCUGAUUGAAGAAAGAAGAAUGUGAAGUAUUAGUUGAUUUAGAACCAGAUGUGAAAGGAGGGUAACAUACUAUGUAGCUAGCCUACCAUUUUGCUGCAAUAAAUUAGCAGAGUAAAGGUCAUCUCUUUUAGAUUUAAUGCCUUAGUGGAACGAAGAUUGAGCAAGUUUAUCAUGGAUUUUUCUUUCAAAGUGUGUUAGAUGUUGAUUUUAAAGGGGUGUAUAAUCACCAAUAUAGAUCAUAUUGGUACAAAACAAUUGACUUUGAAAUGUGAGAUGAUGGUAUUUGUGAAGGGAAAGCAAAAGGAACAUGAAAUUUUCAGUUUCAGUGUAGACUUUCGUUUGAAGUAAGACAGAACUAAAUAAUCCCAUGGAGUUUGAUAUUAGCUUGAUUUGAGCAUUUUACAAACACAUGAUAUGCGUUUUUGGUCCCUCCCCACUAUAGUUUAGGCUUUUAGAGCAGUUGGUAACUAUUAGAGCUCUGGGUAUGCAAGAGAUCUAAGUUUUCAAGUUCCUGGGUUCAAGGCUGAUAGGGAUAGAUCCAUGAAAAGACAAUUAUCGCGGAUGAUUUGCUAUUUACUCCCUUCAUCCCUUAAUAUAUUUUAUUUUAGAUGAUUUCAUUUUUAUGUAAUUAUUUGUCGUUUUAUAUAAUUGAAGAGAAUUAACUACAUCUUUACAAAAUUACUCUCAUGAGAAAAUAUUAAGGAUAAGAGAAUAUAAGAUAAUUAUGAUAAUUAUGAGAAUUUAAAGAUAUUAUAGAGAAUUGAUAUUAUAUUUAAUACUUCCUCCGUCUCGGUAGACUUUUCACGCAUAUUAAAAAGAGGAAUAAAAUGACAAAAUUGUCUAUAAUAAUGUCAUUAAAUAUGGAAAAAGAAUUAGAAUGAGAAAAAUAUGAGAUAUUUAAUGCUACGAGCAUAAUAGGAAAAAAUGUGUAAAAAUUUAAUUAUUAAAGAAAAGUGAACAUUUAACAUAGGACAAUCUAAAAUAGUAAUAAGAACUUUUAUCCGGGAAUAUUAUACAAUCAUUUCUUUAAUUUUUGUGCACAACUCUAAAAUUACCCGGACCAUCCAUUGUUGAAGCCGACCUAUCAGAUCGUCCACCCCAAAAUUGUGACCCACAUCGUGACUUAAAUAUCGCGACCCAAACAUUCCUCCAAAGCCCAACUACCAACACACCAAUCAUUGCAGUCGAAUCCCAAAUCGCUAUUGGGAAAGGAAACAGAAAAAAAAGAAAAAGAAAGGGCCGACAGAGAUUGUGUUGUUGCCGUCGUCAGAAAAGCACUGCCAUCGUCACUACUCGUUGAUCCUUCUGCCACCGUCGCUACUCGCUGCAUCUCUUCAUCCUCUGCGUAUGCGUGUUUUGGAGAAUAAGGGAGAUAAUCCGUAACCCUUACUUUCCUAAAGUAAUAAAUCCUUGCACAAUUACAUUUUAAUAUCCUAAACUUUCGCUUUCCAUUUAAUAUUGUCUCACACUAUUAGUUUUCAUCUUUUCACCCCUGCUUUUUGCAUAAAAAGCUCUAAACUUUUAACCUUAGCACUUUUCACCCCGUCUCAUACUUUCUGAUCAGUUAGGUCCAAAAAAAAAAGUAAAAAUUUCAUAUUUGAAUAUUAGGAUUUUAAAUACUUAAUCACUU
This 5032-nucleotide long non-coding RNA is filed under the name Panax ginseng (ginseng). RNAcentral's name for it is "long non-coding RNA (PGIN_LNC011567)". Lineage: Eukaryota; Viridiplantae; Streptophyta; Magnoliopsida; Apiales; Araliaceae. The record is from RNAcentral.